UGGUGGAGUGAUUUGUCUGGUUAAUUCCGAUAACGAACGAGACCUUAACCUGCUAAAUAGCCCGGCCGGCUUUUGCUGGUCGCCGGCUUCUUAGAGGGACUGUCAGCGUCUAGCUGACGGAAGUUUGAGGCAAUAACA
This 138-nucleotide ribosomal RNA is filed under the name uncultured eukaryote. RNAcentral's name for it is "partial 18S ribosomal RNA". It matches the Rfam family "Eukaryotic small subunit ribosomal RNA", at positions 1299 to 1458 of the family's 1831-position model. The record is from RNAcentral.